AGAAGGUUAGCCAAGUCGGUUAAGGCUGGGGUCUCUGAAACCUUGAUCAGUGGUUCGAACCCACUACCUUCUGCCA
Molecule: transfer RNA, 76 nt
Filed under: Salmonella phage vB_SalS_SA001
Lineage: Duplodnaviria; Heunggongvirae; Uroviricota; Caudoviricetes; Demerecviridae
Description: tRNA-Gln
Rfam family: tRNA
About the family: Transfer RNA (tRNA) molecules are approximately 80 nucleotides in length. Their secondary structure includes four short double-helical elements and three loops (D, anti-codon, and T loops).
Source: RNAcentral